This is a non-coding RNA of Styela clava, 1027 nucleotides long. The record is from RefSeq and is a predicted model, not a curated record. Lineage: Eukaryota; Metazoa; Chordata; Ascidiacea; Stolidobranchia; Styelidae.
GUUUGUUUUUAAUAAAUAAAAAUAUAAGAUAUCCCCCGAAAAUAAGCCCUAGUGUUAUUUUUCGGAAGAAAAUUGAAAUGAGACCCAGUCUUAUUUUUGGGGAAACAUGGUAUAUCUGUAUAUGGAGCCAUACUUGAUUUCUGUUAUGGAGAUGAUUUUGUAUUUUUUUUUUUUCAUGGUUUUCAACAGGUUAGUAAAGAUCUUCAAGUUACAGGUAACCAUAAUAGUAUGAAAUCAUGUUUGACUGUCUGAAAAGUAAAUACUUUGAAAAUGGUUGACGGGAAGUGCAGUUUAAAAAGUGGAUUCAUACAGCGAGGUGAUUCGGGGACGCAAUGUCUGAAUGUUGUCGGAAGUGGAAUAGUCAUAGUUUUUAUUUCUUAUAACAGGGUUUGUAAAAUUGAUAAUGAAAACAGGAAUCAAGCGAAAAAGUUUUUCCGAGAACUAUAUUCCGAACGAGAUUCCACUACAAAGAUUAAAUACUAAAAUAGAUGGAAUAGUAUAAUGGUGCUCACGUCGUAACGACAUGCAAACAGGUGUCGCAGUUUCCAUGUUAUUGAUUUUGCUUCUCCAAAACAUCGCGUACAUAAAACAAUAGAAUGACGUGGAAUUGGCAAGUGUAGUAUUAUGAUUGCUCGAAGAUUUAUUCAGAUUCUACGUACCUCAAUCUUGGAGAGAAGAAAUUAUAUCAUGGUGUCUGCUAUGAUGACAACAAUACGGACUCUAUAUAAUUUUGGUUUUAUAUUGUGUAGGAGAUACUCAACCUUACCAGUGUGGUUGCUAAAAACAAAUUUGAAAAAAUACCAAAUUGAAUUUUGCGAAUUUUCCCUUGAAUCUCUAAACCAGUUCCAGUCAAGAGUCUUACAAUUUCCUUGCUUAUGAUUAUCUAAUAUGCGUUUGUACUACUGUUACUUUUCCGAUAUAUCUAUGAUGACUUAUAUUAAAAAAACAGUCUUAUGAUUGAACAUUCAUCCCUGAUAUUCAUUACGCUGAAUAUAAUUGAAGUAAUUAUCGGUAAUAGGAAAGUCUU